UACGUAGGGCGCAAGCGUUGUCCGGAAUUAUUGGGCGUAAAGAGCUCGUAGGCGGCUUGUCACGUCAGAUGUGAAAUUCCCGGGCUUAACCUGGGGGCUGCAUUUGAUACGUGUGAUCUAGAGUGAGGAAGAGGGUCGUGGAAUUCCCAGUGUAGAGGUGAAAUUCGUAGAUAUUGGGAAGAACACCGGUGGCGAAGGCGGCGACCUGGUCCUUGACUGACGCUGAGGCGCGAAAGCGUGGGGAGCAAACAGG
This 253-nucleotide ribosomal RNA is filed under the name uncultured bacterium. RNAcentral describes it as "partial 16S ribosomal RNA". It matches the Rfam family "Bacterial small subunit ribosomal RNA", at positions 524 to 776 of the family's 1533-position model. The record is from RNAcentral.